Molecule: long non-coding RNA, 892 nt
Organism: Dromaius novaehollandiae (emu)
Lineage: Eukaryota; Metazoa; Chordata; Aves; Casuariiformes; Dromaiidae
Exons: 8
Source: RefSeq, a predicted model, not a curated record
UCUCACAGUAUGACAACUAACUCUCACAUUCAUGCAACUGAAGUAUACCCCAAGGAGACUAGCUGAAUUAAGAGACAUUUUCAAGUCAGAAGUGAAAGAAAAUUCUUAAUGAAAAGCAUUAUUUGAUUUAAUGCAAGCGGUGCAUGUUCAUCAGUCAAGAACAGAACAGAGCAAUAGGAUCUCACUGGUACAUUAAGUCUAAUGGCAGGGACUGUCUUUGGCAGAAAACCAGCAUGGAGUAAAAGAAUACUAAAUUUACAGAUGUUUGUGGACUUUGAAAAAUACUUUACUUAUCAGUGAAAUACAAGGAAUGAAAAUAUAAAGGCCAACUGAGACAAAUUCUCCUCUGAUCUCUCUGUAAUACUGAAGAGUGUAUUUUUAAGACUAUUAAGCACUAUCUGCACAGGACCAAAAGAACUGAACAUCUGUUUGUCAGUAAUCCUGAAAAAAGAAGGAUUUUCAUUUGGAAGUUUUGUGCGGCUUAUACAAGAGAUGUUUUAAGAUUCUAAAAAUACCAGUAGCAGAAAUAGAAAAGGUUCCACUGCAUGACCCAGAACACUUCAACCUUACCCAUGACAGACCCAAGAUGCCAUUUCCGUAUCCUGCUCCAAACUGCUGGAGACACUCACCCACUGAUGGCUUCUGGGAAUUUUGGAGAAGCUGUUUCACAAUAUUGCAGACUUGAUCAACCGACCAACUUUCCAUCUUCAGGCGUUGCAAAGAUAAAUUUCACUGUGAAAUGAAGACAGAGGAUUAUUUUUAUGCUGAGCUCUAAACUGAACUCAAACAUCUUAUAGAAAAAAUACUCUUGCAAACAGUGUCAUACUUACAUGCUCUGAAUAAAAUGAGAAAUAAUCAAACUAAUGCCUUUUGCAAGUAGCAGUUUUCUUAG